AGAGUUUGAUCCUGGCUCAGGAUGAACGUUGGCGGCAUGCUUAACACAUGCAAGUCGAACGCACCGCAAGGUGAGUGGCAGACGGGUGAGUAACACGUGGGAACGUGCCUUUCAGUUCGGGAUAACCCAGGGAAACUUGGGCUAAUACCGGAUACGCCCUUUAUUGGGGAAAGAUUUAUCGCUGAGAGAUCGGCCCGCGUCUGAUUAGCUAGUUGGUGGGGUAAUGGCUCACCAAGGCGACGAUCAGUAGCUGGUCUGAGAGGAUGAUCAGCCACACUGGGACUGAGACACGGCCCAGACUCCUACGGGAGGCAGCAGUGGGGAAUAUUGGACAAUGGGCGCAAGCCUGAUCCAGCCAUGCCGCGUGAGUGAUGAAGGCCCUAGGGUUGUAAAGCUCUUUCGCACGCGACGAUAAUGACGGUAGCGUGAGAAGAAGCCCCGGCUAACUUCGUGCCAGCAGCCGCGGUAAUACGAAGGGGGCUAGCGUUGUUCGGAAUCACUGGGCGUAAAGGGCGCGUAGGCGGCUUGAUAAGCCGGGGGUGAAAGCCUGUGGCUCAACCACAGAAUUGCCUUCGAUACUGUCGGGCUUGAGACCGGAAGAGGUAAGUGGAACUGCGAGUGUAGAGGUGAAAUUCGUAGAUAUUCGCAAGAACACCAGUGGCGAAGGCGGCUUACUGGUCCGGUUCUGACGCUGAGGCGCGAAAGCGUGGGGAGCAAACAGGAUUAGAUACCCCUGUAGUCC
RNAcentral lists this ribosomal RNA (742 nucleotides) under uncultured Hyphomicrobiales bacterium. RNAcentral describes it as "bacterial SSU rRNA". It matches the Rfam family "Bacterial small subunit ribosomal RNA", at positions 8 to 796 of the family's 1533-position model. Lineage: Bacteria; Pseudomonadati; Pseudomonadota; Alphaproteobacteria; Hyphomicrobiales. The record is from RNAcentral.